Molecule: transfer RNA, 72 nt
Filed under: Camelus bactrianus (Bactrian camel)
Lineage: Eukaryota; Metazoa; Chordata; Mammalia; Artiodactyla; Camelidae
Also listed under: 1 other name
Rfam family: tRNA
About the family: Transfer RNA (tRNA) molecules are approximately 80 nucleotides in length. Their secondary structure includes four short double-helical elements and three loops (D, anti-codon, and T loops).
Source: Rfam by way of RNAcentral
GAGAGUAUAGCUUAGUGGUAGAGUGCGCGCUUAUCAUACAUGAGGUCCUGGGCUCAAUCCCCAGUACCACCA